UUAGGAUCACUGAUGAUCUAUUUUUCUUGAUUCUUCUCUUUUUACAGCACCUGAUUGGGUAUAGCCUCACAGUCCAGCUUACAACAAGCGACAGCCACAGAAAAGGCCACCUCAGCUAUCAAGAACAAUCCAUUAAAUUUCUCAGGAGGAAUUCAGGAGGUUUUCUUGCAAGUGUAGAGAAGAGACCCUAACUGUUCUUUCCAGGCCUCUUAUUAGACUGUAUUUAACUUUAAUUCCAAAAUACACCCUUUUCAUUUCAAUAACAAUUCCUUUUAUGCUGUGUUUGCUUAGCAAGUUUAUUAAAGGAGUAUUUUUUGAGACAGAUUUUCAGACAAGGAAUACUAGAGCAGCUGGAUUGAAAGAAGGAAGAUUCUCCCAAGGGCAUGUUUUCAAGCUGAAGAGGAAAAAAAAGAUUCUUUAAUCUCUUUGGGAGAAGAAAAAUCAGGUUCCAAUCACUUCUUGGAUUUUAUAUUUGGAAAAACUGAGGAUAAGAAUUUGAUGAGGAUAUCUGCUUUAUUGUAGAAGAAGAAACCAUCCUCUCUAAAUCCCAAGAACAAACAAAUAAAAACUAGUGGAAAUCAUUUUAUAAUAGCUUCUAUUAGAAACUCAUGUAAGAGAAAGUUAAGAAGAAUCAGAUUUUUGAGAGUUUGAUUUUGUUCAAAUUUAUAUGUUAGGGGCACCUAGUUGACACAAUGGAUAGAGCACCAACCCUGGUCAGGAGGACCUGAGUUCAAAUCUGGUCUCAGACAUUUAAUACUUCCUAGCUGUGUGACCUUAGGCAAGUCACUUAACCCCAAUUGCCUCAAAAAAAAUUGUAUGCUACAAUUUUUACAAAAAAAAGCGUUAUCACAAUAUAACUGUAUGAUACUUGGAUAUUAAAAAAUAAGCAUUAAGAGUACAAAUAAUCAGUACAAUGUAUUUAUAUUUCUUUACACAAAAUACAAUUUUUUGAACCAAAUAUGAAUCUUGUCACUUUCCUUCUCUUAAUGUUUAAAAUAAGAUAUCACACAUUAAAGAUAUUUAUAAUAUGUGUCUAAGUGAAGGAAAGACUUAGGAUCUGAGCAGUGAGAAUAAAGUUGCUAUCUUAACUAUUUGAAGUAUCUUCAAUGGAAAGGGGAUAAAUUAUUUCUUCUUUUCCAUCAUCGAUAAAACAGGAGUAAAUAUUAUAGGGAGAAAUAAAAAUCCUUUUGCACAAGUGCUUGGUAAAUAAUAGAUUGUCUCAAUUUUAAAUCCUUGGCAAUUGGGAAAAUUGAAAUGGGCUUCUUUAAAAAGUAGUAUCUUUUUCAUUUGUGGAGUUAUUUAGAGAAAGGAUGCAUGACCAAUAAAUCAGUCAAUUCAUAAACAUUUAUUAAGAUCCUACUUUGUUUUAAACACUAUGCUAAGUACUAGGAAAACAAAAAAAAAAUAGUUCCUCCCUUAAAUAAAUUUACAAACUAAUGAAAUAUUGGGGAUAUUGUAGAAAGGAAUUCAUUUGUCAGAUAAGGUUUGGGCUAGAUGACCUUUGAAUUCCCUUCCAAAUCUAAAAUUCUGUGCUAACUCUUGUCUUCUCUAGAAAAUAACUUUUUAAACAUAAAAUUCUAAUUUUAAUUUGCUGACAAACAACAGUCAGAAAAUGAAAGGUAUAGAUUUCUGUUACACAUGCAUGCAUUAGCACACAUGUGAAUCAUAAGGAUCAAGACACUAGUUGAAUCUUUAGAUGUUUUAUGGAAAAUUAAUCCCUAAAGGGCAAUUGAACUUAUCAUGAAGAAAUAUUAUUAGAAUAGCAAAAAAAAAUUCAUUAUAAAUUACUCAGCUGGCUUUUAUAAUCCUGACCUAUCUUGUUUUAAUAUCUAUGAAGUUAUCUUCUAUUUCUAAUUGGACUUUAUCCUAUUGGUUAGAAAAGAAUAAAUUGUUCACUUUGGAGAAGUAUAAUAAUU
Molecule: long non-coding RNA, 1916 nt
Filed under: Sarcophilus harrisii (Tasmanian devil)
Lineage: Eukaryota; Metazoa; Chordata; Mammalia; Dasyuromorphia; Dasyuridae
Description: lncRNA (ENSSHAG00000030812.1)
Source: RNAcentral